RNAcentral lists this small nucleolar RNA (78 nucleotides) under Sorex araneus (European shrew). RNAcentral's name for it is "Small nucleolar RNA U109 (ENSSARG00000019348.1)". It matches the Rfam family "Small nucleolar RNA U109", at positions 1 to 74 of the family's 134-position model. Lineage: Eukaryota; Metazoa; Chordata; Mammalia; Eulipotyphla; Soricidae. The record is from RNAcentral.
UUGCAUGUGUGAAUGCCUGCUCCUUAUUCCUUUAGGGGCCGGAAAACAUCUAUAACAUGCUACAUUAAAAAUUAAGGA